GAAUUCGCCCUUAGAGUUUGCUUUGGCUCAGGACGAACGCUGGCGGCGUGCCUAACACAUGCAAGUCGAGCGGGGAAUUAACAAUGAAGUUUUCGGAUGGAUUUGUUAAUUUCUAGCGGCGGACGGGUGAGUAACGCGUGAGCAACCUGCCUAUCACAGGGGAAUAACGCAUCGAAAGGUGUGCUAAUACCGCAUAAUGCUAUUGAGCGGCAUCGCUUGAUAGCCAAAGAUUUAUUGCUGAAAGAUGGCCUCGCGUCUGAUUAGCUAGUUGGUGGGGUAACGGCCCACCAAGGCGACGAUCAGUAGCCGGACUGAGGGGUUGACCGGCCACAUUGGGACUGAGAUACGGCCCAGACUCCUACGGGAGGCAGCAGUGGGGAAUAUUGGGCAAUGGGCGAAAGCCUGACCCAGCAACGCCGCGUGAAGGAAGAAGGCCUUCGGGUUGUAAACUUCUUUUACCAGGGACGAACACAAUGACGGUACCUGGAGAAAAAGCAACGGCUAACUACGUGCCAGCAGCCGCGGUAAUACGUAGGUUGCAAGCGUUGUCCGGAAUUACUGGGUGUAAAGGGCGCGUAGGCGGAGAUGCAAGUCAGGAGUGAAAUCCAUGGGCUCAACCCAUGAACUGCUCUUGAAACUGUAUCCCUUGAGUAUCGGAGAGGCAAGCGGAAUUCCUAGUGUAGCGGUGAAAUGCGUAGAUAUUAGGAGGAACACCAGUGGCGAAGGCGGCUUGCUGGACGACAACUGACGCUGAGGCGCGAAAGCGUGGGGAGCAAACAGGAUUAGAUACCCUGGUAGUCCACGCCGUAAACGA
Molecule: ribosomal RNA, 814 nt
Filed under: uncultured bacterium
Lineage: Bacteria
Description: bacterial SSU rRNA
Rfam family: Bacterial small subunit ribosomal RNA
Source: RNAcentral